UAAUGGGUUAGUUCAUUUUCUCUGCAGUGCCCUCUUUUCAAUCAUGCUACAAAAGUAGUCUUCAAUCAAGGUUGUGUUACUGUUAUUUUCAUAGUAGGAUAUAAAAUAAUGAGAUUUUUACCGAACUUUUCCCAUUUUUUAGCCAUGGAAGAUAAUGAUAGUUAUUUCCAUCAAGUGAAGCAAAGCAGAAGGUGAGCAGUGUAAUGUCUUAGGUGCUUUCUCAAGAGUACAUUUAUCUUCUGGCUUAACUGGGGAAUAAGCAGUUGGUAAUUGCUAUGAGGUAGAAGGUACUGUUCAGGAAUUGUUGAGGCAUAUCUUCCAUUUUUGAAAUAAAGAAAUUCUGAUGGGUUUCAGUAUAUCAUCUCUUCUGCUUUCCACAUAUGGCUUUGUGUGAAAAAGAAAGAGACAGUUCUAAAUGGGUAACUUGGCAGGAAUACUGGUGACAGGAGAUGAUUUUACGGGAGACGGGGUGUGUGAUGAUGGAAAGAGCAAGCUUGGCCUUGAAUGUAGAAGUCUGGCCUCUUUGGAUGGAAUACUGAGAAAGGACAGCGUGCAUUUCCCAAUAUUGUGGUUCCAGAGGUGUGGCAACAGUAUGAAAAGCAAAAAUCCAUUGUGGGAGCAAUGAAUCUUGAGUUGAAGGAGAAUGUCGCAAGCAUCCCUUUUACGUAAUGAAUGAAGUCCAGGUUUCAUCUGAGUGACGGCUUAAUUGCUGGUUCAUCUCUGCAUAGGAACAGUUCAUGGCACUCCUCUGCUCGUAACCUACAGUGGCUCCUUCUGUCCACUGAAAGAAACCCAAACUCUUUGGCCAAGAAUGUAAGGUCCCCCCUUUCUACACUACCCAGGGAGGGGUCUAUAUGGUGUUGUUCUGCAUUCCCAUCAUAACUUAAAGAGAAAUGUUCACAAUGGCUGGAGCCCUUGAUGUCCUGUAAAUGAAGGAGGAGGAGGGUGUCCUCAAAUUCCUUGCAGCAGGACCCCACUUAGGUGGCGCCAACCUUGACUUCCAGAUGGAACUACAUCUAUAAAAGGAAAUGUGAUGGCAUCUGAAGAGAACGUGGGAGAAGCUUCUGCUGGCAGCUUGUGCCAUUGUUGCCGUUGAAGACGGCUCCCGUCAGUGUCCUAUCACCCAGGAAUCCUGGCCAGCGAGCUGGGCUGAAGUUUGCGGCUGCUACUGGAGCCAGUCCCACUGCCGGCCACUUCACUCCUGGAACCUUCACUAACCGGAUCCAGGCAGCCUUCCGGGAG
This 1242-nucleotide long non-coding RNA is filed under the name Felis catus (domestic cat). RNAcentral describes it as "lncRNA (ENSFCAG00000051673.1)". The record is from RNAcentral. Lineage: Eukaryota; Metazoa; Chordata; Mammalia; Carnivora; Felidae.